RNAcentral lists this transfer RNA (73 nucleotides) under Danionella translucida. It matches the Rfam family "tRNA". Rfam says of the family: Transfer RNA (tRNA) molecules are approximately 80 nucleotides in length. Their secondary structure includes four short double-helical elements and three loops (D, anti-codon, and T loops). Further hydrogen bonds mediate the characteristic L-shaped molecular structure. tRNAs have two regions of fundamental functional importance: the anti-codon, which is responsible for specific mRNA codon recognition, and the 3' end, to which the tRNAs corresponding amino acid is attached (by aminoacyl-tRNA synthetases). tRNAs cope with the degeneracy of the genetic code in two manners: having more than one tRNA (with a specific anti-codon) for a particular amino acid; and 'wobble' base-pairing, i.e. permitting non-standard base-pairing at the 3rd anti-codon position. RNAcentral also lists the same sequence under 1 other name. The record is from Rfam by way of RNAcentral. Lineage: Eukaryota; Metazoa; Chordata; Actinopteri; Cypriniformes; Danionidae.
GGGGAAUUAGCUCAAAUGGAAGAGCGCUCGCUUCGCAUGCGAGAGGUAGCGGGAUCCAUACCCGCAUUCUCCA